This 778-nucleotide ribosomal RNA is filed under the name uncultured Neocallimastigales. RNAcentral's name for it is "partial large subunit ribosomal RNA". It matches the Rfam family "Eukaryotic large subunit ribosomal RNA", at positions 24 to 610 of the family's 3401-position model. The record is from RNAcentral. Lineage: Eukaryota; Fungi; Neocallimastigomycota; Neocallimastigomycetes; Neocallimastigales.
UAUCUCUGUAGAGUCUGCAUAUCAAUAAGCGGAGGAAAAGAAACUAACUAGGAUUCCCUUAGUAACGGCGAGUGAAGCGGGAAGAGCUCAAAUUUGAAAUCUUCAAGGUUUUACCUUGACGAAUUGUAGUUUAAAGAAGUGUUUUCGGUUGGAGUUUUGGUAAAAGUUCUUUGGAAUAGGACAUCAUAGAGGGUGAGAAUCCCGUAUUUGACCAUUAUCUUCCAACUGUGUGAUACACUUUCAAAGAGUCGGAUUGUUUGGGAAUGCAGUCCAAAAUGGGUGGUAAAUUUCAUCUAGAGCUAAAUAUUGGCGAGAGACCGAUAGCGAACAAGUACCGUGAGGGAAAGAUGAAAAGAACUUUGAAAAGAGAGUUAAACAGUACGUGAAAUUGUCAAAAGGGAAGCGUUUGACACCAGUGUUGUUUUCUCGAAAAUCAAUUAAAAAUAACUUUGAUUUUGUGUUGUAUUGACCUUAAAAGCUUUCUUCACUUUUUUCUUGUUAUUUUUAAUGCACUUUUCGUUUAACAAGUCAACAUCAGUUUCUUUUGUUGUAAAAAGGUCAUUGGAAGGUGGCUUUCUUUUCGGAGAAAGUGUUUAUAGCCUUUGACUCCUGCAAUCGGAGAGACUGAGGUCUGCAGCGUAGAUCCUUUUUUGGAUUAGAUUCAUUUGUGCUAAGUUAUAGCUUUUUAUAGACAACUUGUUGACUAUAUUUAGUCUUGUAGCUUACUCGCUUAUGCAAUUUUACCUACGCUUAGGAUGUUGAAUCUGUGCGAGACUAC